GUGAAAAUGUCCACCGAAUUAUCAGUUGGCACGGUAACUGCAAUUUUGAACUUCCUUGGCAAGAACUGAGUUCCAUAAAUGGGUUCAGGUGAGUCAGGGAAGUUUGUUCCAUGGGAGUUAUCAUUUCGAGCUUUCACAACUUCAAGAGGUUCUGCUGUCAUAACUUUCUCCCCAUCCACCCAAACGUCAUAGUAAAAUCCAGACUAUUAUCAUUUCGAGCUUUCACAACUUCAGGAGGUUCUGCGGUCAUAACUUUCUCCCCAUCCACCCAAACGUCAUAGUAAAAUCCAGACUGGGGAGUUAAAAGUGCUGCAAUGUUAUCAGCUGUUUGUUUAGCAAACAUAUAAUCUUUUUUAGUAAAUGGGGCAGCUGGAGCAAGAACGUUCCUAUUGAGGUCA
Molecule: long non-coding RNA, 398 nt
Filed under: Nicotiana benthamiana
Lineage: Eukaryota; Viridiplantae; Streptophyta; Magnoliopsida; Solanales; Solanaceae
Description: long non-coding RNA (NBEN_LNC020803)
Source: RNAcentral